CUCCUGAGACAGCAAGACCAGACUUUGCCCUUCCUCCUCUCAGCCUACUCAACGUGAAUAUAAUGAGGAUGAAGACCUUUGUAAUGACCUUUUCCCACAUAAUGAAUAGCCAUUGGGAGACACACUUCUGAACACCACCACUGGAAAAUCACACAUGCUGAAAUGGGAGAGUUCCCUGACCCCCUUGCAGGAUAUGUGACAGGAGUGUGGCUCAUCUGUUCAGCUGGAGUGCAUACUCAAACCCCUUAUGAGACAAGGAGUAUGCAGACAGAAGGUGCAGGAACUGGGAAGCAAAAUAUAAACUAGUUAAUUUGAUCUCCAAGAGUUAAGCGGUUUUAAUAUUACUGACAGUAAUAUCAGCAGUGGUGUUGGAACCCCAUGAUCUCAUGAAUCAUAGAUAGCAACUGCUUACUGGACAUUGAAGCUUUAUGGCCAGCUGCCAAAAAAAUAAAUGCACCUUAAUUUUUAAAUUGAAUUAUAAAGCCAAAAAUAUCCUAUUGCUCUAUUCCUCUUAUUUUGGUGUUUACAUGUGACUUUAUAAUUUCCUUCACUUGAAAGAUUUUAACUUUAAAGGAAACUUUACUCUGAACGUUUAGGACAAUUCAUAGAUAAUCAAAUUGAUUAUCAUGUUUUCAAUGUUAAAUAUUACUUCAUAUGUCUUUUUACAACCUUCAGAAUAAGAAAGCCAGCUAUGAAAUACCAAGUCUUGACUAGUAGUGCCACCUAGCAUCACAAAGAAAAAGUUGUUCAACUACUUUGCAAAGCAUUGGAAAUUUAUCAAAUCAUCUAAUAUACUAUCUCCUUGAUCCUUAAUCCAGAGGAAAAUAAGCAGACAUGAUCAAUUAGAAGAAAUGUACACAAAACCUAUGUAAUUUUAGAGAUAGUAUACUACAUAUUAUGAAUGUUUGUGUUUUAGUAAGAUGUAGUUAUGAGAUGUAGCAGUAAGAUAUAAUUUCUGGUUUGCUGACUGAUAUGCUACCGGUUUUUCCUACAAUUUAAGAAAACAUAUUGGGAUUCAAAUGAAUAAAAAUAAUGUUUGUGUACUGAAAUAUUGGCUAUGACCUAAUUUAUAGAAUAAAAAGUAAGUCAUUCAC
This 1094-nucleotide long non-coding RNA is filed under the name Homo sapiens (human). Its description in RNAcentral is "HSALNT0326392". Lineage: Eukaryota; Metazoa; Chordata; Mammalia; Primates; Hominidae. The record is from RNAcentral.